UAUCAUGCAGUCGAGCGGAAGAUGGGAGCUUGCUCCCUGAAGUCAGCGGCGGACGGGCGAUUAACACGUGGGCAACCUGCCUGUAAGACUGGGAUAACUUCGGGAAACCGGAGCUAAUACCGGAUAACACCGAGGACCUCAUGGUCCUUGGUUGAAAGAUGGCUUCGGCUAUCACUUACAGAUGGGCCCGCGGCGCAUUAGCUAGUUGGUGAGGUAACGGCUCACCAAGGCGACGAUGCGUAGCCGACCUGAGAGGGUGAUCGGCCACACUGGGACUGAGACACGGCCCAGACUCCUACGGGAGGCAGCAGUAGGGAAUCUUCCGCAAUGGACGAAAGUCUGACGGAGCAACGCCGCGUGAGCGAUGAAGGCCUUCGGGUCGUAAAGCUCUGUUGUUAGGGAAGAACAAGUACCGUUCGAAUAGGGCGGUACCUUGACGGUACCUAACCAGAAAGCCACGGCUAACUACGUGCCAGCAGCCGCGGUAAUACGUAGGUGGCAAGCGUUGUCCGGAAUUAUUGGGCGUAAAGCGCGCGCAGGCGGUUCCUUAAGUCUGAUGUGAAAGCCCACGGCUCAGCCGUGGAGGGUCAUUGGAAACUGGAGAACUUGAGUGC
RNAcentral lists this ribosomal RNA (614 nucleotides) under Neobacillus vireti. RNAcentral's name for it is "bacterial SSU rRNA". It matches the Rfam family "Bacterial small subunit ribosomal RNA", at positions 51 to 649 of the family's 1533-position model. Lineage: Bacteria; Bacillati; Bacillota; Bacilli; Caryophanales; Bacillaceae. The record is from RNAcentral.